Pangasianodon hypophthalmus (striped catfish) is the source of this 1242-nucleotide long non-coding RNA. RefSeq lists it as uncharacterized. The transcript is spliced from 3 exons. The record is from RefSeq and is a predicted model, not a curated record. Lineage: Eukaryota; Metazoa; Chordata; Actinopteri; Siluriformes; Pangasiidae.
AAUGCAGCAGCUAGAGUUCUUACUAGAACCAGGAAGUAUGACCAUAUUAGCCCGGUUCUGUCAACACUGCACUGGCUCCCUAUUAAACAUCGUAUACAUUUUAAAAUCUUGCUAAUUACCUACACUCAAAAAAAGGAAUUUUGCUGGCUGUUGCAUUUACUUAAGUGCAACGUGUGUUUUGUACUACCUAAUUUAAUGUUAAAUUAAAUAAACAUGAAUAAAUCUCAUAAGAUUUGCUUGAAAUUCAACUGCUUAGCUUUCACUUGAUUCGAUUUUGUCAAAAUAACAAGAAACAAUCAAGUACCCACGCGCUUCCUGGAAAAUGAUUACCUUUAUCGCGAUAACACGUCCCGAGAUGAAGAUUUGAAAUAACGUAAAGAAAACACCUGAGGGAAGCCGUUGAUGAGCGCGCACAUGGAAAGGUCCAUCUUGCUAUUUGCACAGUAAACACAUUCAAAGGCGUUAUAGUGGGAUAGGUGGUAUGUGGAGUUGUAAGGGUUGCACAGAAACUGUAUCAAGUAGGUCCAAGCUUUUGCAUCACUACAAGUUAAAGCAUCCACAUUUUGGACGUAGUUCUCGCUUUCCAUGUACGUACCAUCACUGUCCAUGCACAUUUAAGACAUGGAAUGCACUUAUAGUCCAUCAAAGUAAAAUUCACUCAGCAGAGGACACCUCUAAACAGACAGCAAUAUUCAGCUGCCACCUUUGCGCUUGUGGUGAUUUAGCAUCAGAGAGGGAUUAUUUUGCUCAUAUAAAUGCACAUCUCAAAAGACAUGAGACUGUCAUCUGUAUGUUUUUAGGCUGUGACUUUAAAACAAACAUUUAUUGCACAUUUAAAUCACACAAAAAUCGAAAACACUGCCAUCACACAUUGAUUGAUUUUAAACCUAGAGUUGUUAUAAGUAGAACAUGAUCUGUGAAUGAAUUGGUGGCCACUAGUCAGGACUUUGUAGAGCAGUCAGAUAUUGCCAUUCCAUCAAAUAGUCACUGUCAAACAGAGGACUUGCAUAAAAUCAUAGAGCAAAGAUUUGCAGCUGCCUUGCUAAAGUUGGAGCAUUUGGUCCAUGUACCAAGUACGGCUAUUGAUGUAUUUUUAGAGGAACGUCAUCAUCUGAUUUGUUCUGCACCCGUUCCAUUAUCUUGUGACACUGUGAGUGACAUCUUUCAACAGAAAAACCUCCAUGUCGAUGAACUUACAAUAAGAGAUACGGUUAAUGCAGUUUGUUCUGGUAAUCCUGUGCA